AGGACGAACGCUGGCGGCGUGCCUAACACAUGCAAGUCGAGCGAGGAGAUUCCUUCGGGAUGAUCCUAGCGGCGACGGGUGAGUAACACGUGGGCAACCUGCCUCAUAGAGAGGAAUAGCCUUCCGAAAGGGAGAUUAAUACCUCAUAACAUUGCAGUUUCGCAUGGAACAGCAAUUAAAGGAGUAAUCCGCUAUGAGAUGGGCCCGCGGCGCAUUAGCUAGUUGGUGAGGUAACGGCUCACCAAGGCGACGAUGCGUAGCCGACCUGAGAGGGUGAUCGGCCACAUUGGGACUGAGACACGGCCCAGACUCCUACGGGAGGCAGCAGUGGGGAAUAUUGCACAAUGGGGGAAACCCUGAUGCCAGCAACGCCGCGUGAGUGAUGACGGCCUUCGGGUUGUAAAGCUCUGUCUUCAGGGACGAUAAUGACGGUACCUGAGGAGGAAGCCACGGCUAACUACGUGCCAGCCGCCGC
RNAcentral lists this ribosomal RNA (475 nucleotides) under uncultured bacterium. Its description in RNAcentral is "bacterial SSU rRNA". It matches the Rfam family "Bacterial small subunit ribosomal RNA", at positions 26 to 518 of the family's 1533-position model. The record is from RNAcentral.